Molecule: long non-coding RNA, 5652 nt
Organism: Monodelphis domestica (gray short-tailed opossum)
Lineage: Eukaryota; Metazoa; Chordata; Mammalia; Didelphimorphia; Didelphidae
Source: RefSeq, a predicted model, not a curated record
CCCUAGUCUAAGCAUAAAAACAUUCUCUCCCCUGGGGAAAUUCCUUCCUUCAUUUGCUGUAAAGUGUGUCAUUUGACUCCUGCUGAAAUGCAUGUUUUUGGAGUGGAAAAUUGGAAGCACAUGAUUUAUUCCCAAAGAAAACCUUUAAUUCAGCAGCCGAGAAAUUACUUUGCUACUGGUCCAAAGGGCUUACCAGUUACCAUCAGGAUGCUGUUAGAGCCCUCAGAAAUGGUGUGCAGCAUUCCAAGGCAAGGGGGCCUUUGAAGGAUUUCCCUGAAGAACUGCUUCUGCUCGGUUGUGCUUGGCCACUGCAGCCUGAGAGGAAUGAACACUGUCUAGCAAACAGGCCCUAUUAGCACAACAGAUCAUAGAUGGAUUUGGAAUGGAAAGACCUUAUAAGCUUAGCUUGGAAGGCAUACCAGAGAUCCAAUGGUGGACAAUUCUCCAUAUCUGCAAUAUUGGAACCAGUUGAGAAGUGAACUCAGAAUAAUGACCUGCUUGACCCUGUCCAACAGUCUUUUGAUCCAGCAGCUAAAAUAAAGUGUCCUAUAAUAAAGGGGGCAACUCAUCCGUCAGUGAUGCUGCCCCCAGGAGUGAGCCUGGUGGGAAGAAUUUUUUAUGCUUUUCACUUCAAGCUUGAAUCCACUCUCCCCACUGGCUAAGUAAGGUGUUUCUGUAUUUUGGUAUGGGGGACAAAAGAACUUUGAGUACUUUUGAGUAGAGCUGAGUGGAAUGUUUUUGAAUUUGUGUUCUUGUAUUUCUUUUCCUGAAAUACUCCCUUAUUAAAGCUGAUUUAUAUUGAUUGGUUAUCAAUUAAAUUGAAGAGAUAUCAAUCGAUCAAUAUGAUAGUGGGGCACUGAUCACUGGAUAGAUGAUACUAAAGAGAAGUAGCUAGUUGAUUAUUUUUGGGCAAAACACAAUAGAUGGGGCUAAUGAACUAUAGUAUUAGAAGAACCCCAACCCUUUAGAGUUACCUCCUAAAACUCUGAGGGAAGGUGGAGAGUAAGCUUGUUUGAAUGACCCAAACUGCUAAAUCACGUAAGGGUUGGGAGAGUAGUUCUAGAGUCUUUAGGUAGUACAUAUAUAUUAUCUCAUUUGAUCCUUGCUACAGUCAUGCCAGAUGGAUGCUCUUGUUAUCAUUCCCAUUUUACAGUGGAGAUGAGGCUUAGAAAAGUCUGGGGGCAGAGUUUGAAUCCUGGUCGUCCUUUCUCCAGCUCCAGUGUUCUGUUUAGAGUGAAUCCUGUGGGGCAAAUGGCGCAGGGGACCUACAGCUGAGAAUUCAGGCGCAUCCUUCCUGAGUCUGCCUCCAAUCCUGCGAGGAAAGCCAGGAGCAAUGGGCCAAGUCCCUUAGGAUGCAACAUCAACAGGGUUAGAGGUGGUCCUCGGUUUUACUGGGAAGCCCCAGGGAACACUGCCAGGUUGGCAGCCUGGGUGAUGGAAGUCCAUUGCCAACCAAAUGAGCAGAGCUCAGGAAAACUGUUGUAGCAACUGCCCCAGCAUCAGUUCACAAAGCUACCUCAGCCCCUUUUCUGUUCCCUCCUCUAUCUCCAGCCAGCAACUGCCAGACGAGGGACUCCUAGCAACUAGAAGCUAAACAGAUGAUGCUUAGUCUCUUCAUGCUGGCUUCUCCAAGAGAACCUGGGAAGAAGAACCACUCAGCCGUAUCCUUGGUACUCUAGUAUUGCAUCUUGGGCAGUAGAGGGCAACAUUAGGUCAUAUAGAUGUAAAGUCACCCAAGCUACCCAGAAGGAAGGAGGAAGUAGGUUGAGGAAAGGGCUCCUGUGGUGGUCAUAAUGAGGACAUGACACAUCUCCAGUCUCCAGACCUUGUGACAUACGCAGCAUAAUAUUUACACCAGUAACCUAGACUCGUACCCAGAAAGCUACAGCAGGCAAGGAGAGAUGUUUAGGAGCCGACUGGUGAAACCAGAAACAAUUAUUGGCAUUUCAGCAAAACAAAGCAGCAACAGAAGCAGCAAAAGAAACAACUGGCUGAGAAAUAAAUUGCAUAGCCCUAAAUCUCUGGCUUUUGUUUUUGAGUUCAGUCUCCAAGUUAAUUCAGAACAAAAGACAGUUACUUAAAUCUAGAUAUUUUAUCUUAAUGUGGGCAAUUCCCAUAAUAUCACACAUUAAGAUGUCUGAUUUGAGCUGCCACCAAACAGGCGGUGAUAAUGUCAUUUAAGAUCUGUUUUAUCACUGCGCACACAUGUGUUCAAUUCUGUUUGUGGCACAUGAGAGCCUGUCAUUAAACUGAUGAGUCUCAGAGUUGAAGCUCAGAAAUGAAGCAGCCAGACCCUGACCCUUCCAUAAGAGAAGGGGCAGUGGUGGGGGAGCUCCAGGGGAGUAGAGUUUGCUACUCACACAAACAACACAUGUAGCCAUUAUGUGUCACCAGCAACGGGAGGAGGAACAAAUGGCCCACUGCAUUUCAAAAGCCCCAAAGAGGCUGACCAGGGGCUUUGUGUAGAAACCAGUCAACUGUUAUUAGGAAGGUAAAUUGCAAGGAUGGCAGUUUUCAGCUCUCUUCAGCCCUCUCCCCCUCGUUAUCACAGCCAAAUUAGCGAUGUGCGGUGUGGCUGUUUGUUUGCGAUAGAUUCUGCUGCCGUGGCACUGCUGUCCACCAAGAGAUGCUGGGAAGCUGCCAAGUGAUUAAGCUAUUGUGGUUAGUCUGUUCCUAGAACGGAUUUCUUCUGGAAUAUUAAAAGUUUUACAGCCUAAAGUGUUGCACUUUGACUCCUGGUAAUUAAUACUGAUUUUGCCGUAAUAUCUUAUUUUUUAUGGGCAUUAUCUUGUUUUUCAUGAGCUGCAAAAAAUAUCACUGUAGCUUAUGAAAUAAACUAUAAUAUCUUGCUUUGCACAAUCUUAUUUGUGUCAUUAUCUGGCCCCUGGAGCAGCUAAUUUAGCCCAUACGAUACAGAACAAUAUUUAUUUUCCCAGUGAUUACUGGAGUGAUGCCAUUUCCACAGACUUGCCCAUGUGAGCUGAUAUACCUCUACCCACAGAGGUACUACAAUCAGACUUCAGCCACGAAGGACAAAAUGGACAGAUCCAAUGAUAUGGUGCCAGAGGUCAAAGGAGAGCAAGUGGACUUUUCAUAUGCUCCCAAGCAAAGAUUUUUACAAGUGAUAAUGUCAGGAUAUCCAGCCAAGGAGAGCUGGGUAUAGAGCCAGAGAUGAGACAGACAUUGCCAAAGAUGGACAGAUGAAUCAGGAGUGGAUGAAACCAUUCAAAUCAAAUCAAGCAGCUAUUGUGUGCAGGGCACUGGGAGAGAUACCAAAUAAAGUACAGGUCAUGAUCCUUGCCCUCAAGGAACUUACAAUGUGCUUGAGAAGCCAUGGAAGAAAAUAUCACCAUUGGUAAAAUCCUCCUGGAAAGUGAAAAUGUUCAAAAAUAUAAGGAUCUGUGCUUUAUUGUAAUAAUCUCACAGAUCAACAAAAAGAAUUCCUUAAAAAGAAGCAUCAGCCUUACUCAUAUUCCGUAGCUAACUUUCCUCUAAUUUUUUGUGACCCCCAUUUGGGGUUUUCUUGGCAAAGCUUACUGGAGUGGUUUGCCAUUUCCUUCUCCAGCUCAUUUUAUCAAUGAGGAACCUGAGGCAAAGAAGAUUAAAUGAUUUGCCCAGGGUUGCCCAGCCAGUAAGUGUCUAAGGCCAGAUUUGAACUCAUGAAGAUGAGUCUUCCUGACUCCAGACCAGCACCCUUGCCUCCCAUCUAGGUGACAUAAUGGAUAGAGCUCCAGGUCUGAAAAAUGACUCACAACUUUCCUCUACUCAGCAAAUUCUCAUUUUCUUGGAGUUUGCAACCUACCUGCAUCAGCAAAACCUUUAAAAUAGGCAUACUAAGUAGAGCCAAAAUGUUGGAAAAGCAGGAAGCAGUAUAGUCAAACCCAGCCCUACUCCCAACUCCUCUAAAUUGAUUGAGAAAAUGUACCAGACCUAAUUCUUACUGGGAAAUGUAAGAAAAGUCAGUGAGUCAUUUUUCCAGCCUAGGAUUAUUGGACUGGAAAAAUGUCUCCCCUGUGGGAGAUAGCCAGUGGAUACUACGUAUAAAGUCUAGCCAAGAGUGACCAUAGGGGCAGAGCAUUCCAAUGGAAAGAAGAAGUUGUACAUGAGGGUGAGAGUAGGUUCUAGAACCAUAUGGGACAUUUUAACAAGAACAAGUGACAACUAUGAGUUUUGUCACCCACUAACCAUUUUUUAGUUACAGAAUCAGGGUGGCCUGAGAAAUAUACCUGUGCUAGAGGUUGAAUUCCAGGAAAAAAAGAGAGGUGAAAAAGAAUUUAAACUUAAAAAAAAAAGAGCAAUGACAGGCCCUAGGCAUUAUACCAAGGAGGAAUAAAUAAAUUGAGACACCAGCAGCAGCAAAGUGGCCUGGUUACCAAGAGCAGAACAGGGUUUUAGUUCCAGCUUCUUGCCCAGUCUGGAACCUAUAGAGGAAAAAACAGAACAGAAAUUCCAGAACAAAGGGAGACUACAAUUCUAACACUAUAAGUGAGUAGAGUUGCCAGGCACCUAUUAAGUGUUGAGUUAGGUAGCAGUCUACUGUUGCUCAGAUCCAGGUCAAUAAUCUCCACAACUCAGACCAGAGGUACAGUGAUUAGACUUUGCACUGGAUUUGAAAACUUUGGGAGCACUGAAAGGUUGUAUGUCCCUGGCCUCGGCUUUCCUUGAGAUCCUGGAAUAACAUAACACUUAACACCCUAAGAAAGCAGCAAUGAUCCAACUGAGACCUACACUCCAGAAGUUUUCAGAGAGCCCAGUGUCUGGAUAUCAAUCCAAAGUCAGGAAGUAGGCUACAAACAAAAUCAAACAAACAAAAAUUCUCACCAUUAAAAGUUGUUUUGGUGACAUCGAUGUUUAAGAGACAAACCCAGAAGAAGAGAAUGACUCCAAAACUUUUACAAGCAAAAUCUCUUGGAUAUAAAUUCAGCUAUAAUUCCUAGAAGUGAUAAAGUAAGAGUUUUUAGAAAUUAAAAUUGUUUUUAUAAAUUAAAUGAGAGUGCUAGAGGAAAAAAUUGGAAAAGUAAUGAGAGACAUCAAAGAAAGAAUUGAAAAAGGAAUUAACAGCUUGGUACAAUUAAAUACAAAACCUUGCUCAGGCAAUGAAUUCCCUGAAAACUAGAAUGGACUCUAAAGAAUCCAAUGACUCCUUGAGACAAGGAAAUAUAAAAAUAAAGUCAUAAAACUGAAAGAAAAAAUAGAGAAAAAAAAGCUAAAAUAUCUCAUAGCAAAAACAACUGACCUGGAAAACAGAUUGAAGAGAAUCAUUUAAGAAUCAUUGGUCUACCUGAACACCAUGACCAAAAGCAAAGCCUAAAUGUCAGAUUUUAAGAAAUCUUAAAAGAAAACUGUCCAUAUCUCUUAGAACCAGAGGGCAAAGUGGAAAUAGAAAGAAUCCAUCUAUCACUUCCUGAAAGAAGCCUCAAAAGAAAACUCCCAGGAACAGUAUAACCAAAAUUCAGAGCUUCUGGGUUAAAAAAAACAAACAAAAAAACUCUGUAAGCAGCCAGGAAGAAAGAACUUUAGUACCAAGGAUCAAAAGUCAGGAUCACACUAUGAUAAAGGGUUUGUAGUACUUAAAAUAUUAUAUUUCAGGAGACAAAGGAUAUAGGUUUACAGCCAAGAAUAAUUAACUGCAAAACUGAGUAUAAUCCUACA